Paramuricea clavata is the source of this 73-nucleotide non-coding RNA. The record is from the annotation of a GenBank genome assembly. Lineage: Eukaryota; Metazoa; Cnidaria; Anthozoa; Malacalcyonacea; Plexauridae.
GACCGCAUAGCUCAGUUGGAAGAGCAUUGGGCUAGUAUUCCAAAGGUCGUAGGUUCGAAUCCCACCGUGGCCG